UGGCUCUGGCAUCGAUGAAGAACGCAGCGAAAUGCGAUAAGUAAUGUGAAUUGCAGAAUCCAGUGAAUCAUCGAAUCUUUGAACGCACAUUGCGCCCGCCAGUAUUCUGGCGGGCAUGCCUGUCCGAGCGUCAUUUCAACCCUCGGGCCCCCCCUUCACGGGGGCGCGCCCGGCGUUGGGGAACGGCCCUCCCGCCGUCCCCGAAAUACAGUGGCGGCCUCGCUGUGGCCCUCCCCUGCGCAGUAGCACAAGCUCGCAGAGGGAGCGCGGCGACGGCCCUGCCGUUAAACACCCCACUUCUGAAAAGUUGACCUCGGAUCAGGUAGGAAUACCCGCUGA
Molecule: unclassified non-coding RNA, 339 nt
Filed under: uncultured fungus
Lineage: Eukaryota; Fungi
Description: partial contains 5.8S ribosomal RNA and internal transcribed spacer 2
Rfam family: 5.8S ribosomal RNA (bases 1-133)
Source: RNAcentral